Molecule: ribosomal RNA, 403 nt
Filed under: uncultured bacterium
Lineage: Bacteria
Description: bacterial SSU rRNA
Rfam family: Bacterial small subunit ribosomal RNA
Source: RNAcentral
UGGGGAAUAUUGGACAAUGGGGGCAACCCUGAUCCAGCCAUGCCGCGUGAGUGAUGAAGGCCUUAGGGUUGUAAAGCUCUUUCGACGGGGAAGAUAAUGACGGUACCCGUAGAAGAAGCCCCGGCUAACUUCGUGCCAGCAGCCGCGGUAAUACGAAGGGGGCUAGCGUUGCUCGGAUUUACUGGGCGUAAAGCGCACGUAGGCGGGUCGUUAAGUCGGGGGUGAAAUCCGGGAGCUCAACUCCGGAACUGCCUUCGAUACUGGCGAUCUCGAGUCCGGGAGAGGUGAGUGGAACUCCGAGUGUAGAGGUGAAAUUCGUAGAUAUUCGGAAGAACACCAGUGGCGAAGGCGGCUCACUGGCCCGGUACUGACGCUGAGGUGCGAAAGCGUGGGGAGCAAACAG